AUUGAACGCUGGCGGCAGGCCUAACACAUGCAAGUCGAGCGGAUGAAGGGAGCUUGCUCCUGGAUUCAGCGGCGGACGGGUGAGUAAUGCCUAGGAAUCUGCCUGGUAGUGGGGGAUAACGUCCGGAAACGGGCGCUAAUACCGCAUACGUCCUGAGGGAGAAAGUGGGGGAGCUUCGGACCUCACGCUAUCAGAUGAGCCUAGGUCGGAUUAGCUAGUUGGUGGGGUAAAGGCCUACCAAGGCGACGAUCCGUAACUGGUCUGAGAGGAUGAUCAGUCACACUGGAACGGAGACACGGUCCAGACUCCUACGGGAGGCAGCAGUGGGGAAUAUUGGACAAUGGGCGAAAGCCUGAUCCAGCCAUGCCGCGUGUGUGAAGAAGGUCUUCGGAUUGUAAAGCACUUUAAGUUGGGAGGAAGGGCAGUAAGUUAAUACCUUGCUGUUUUGACGGUACCAACAGAAUAAGCACCGGCUAACUUCGUG
Molecule: ribosomal RNA, 484 nt
Filed under: uncultured bacterium
Lineage: Bacteria
Description: partial 16S ribosomal RNA
Rfam family: Bacterial small subunit ribosomal RNA
Source: RNAcentral